AGCGAGACUAGAGUCACAUCCUGACAUUAUCUAUUGUCCUGGUGUGCUAGAGUCCUCGCAGAGUAACUUCUCUGCUUAUUCAUUGGCUGCUGCUUUCCAUUGCUCAGCCAAUCACCAGCUCAGAAACAACU
This is a small nucleolar RNA of Astyanax mexicanus (Mexican tetra), 131 nucleotides long. NCBI's taxonomy places the organism in Eukaryota, Metazoa, Chordata, Actinopteri, Characiformes, Acestrorhamphidae. The record is from Ensembl.